Molecule: ribosomal RNA, 2603 nt
Filed under: human oral metagenome
Description: bacterial LSU rRNA
Rfam family: Bacterial large subunit ribosomal RNA
Source: RNAcentral
GUUCGGUGGAUGCCUUGGCAUCAGGGGCCGAUGAAGGACGUGGUGGCCUGCGAUAAGCCUCGGGGAGCCGGCUGGCGGGCUGUGAUCCGAGGGUGUCCGAAUGGGGGGACCCGGCGCGAGUCAUGUCGUGUCACCUGCAUCUGAAUUGUAUAGGGUGUGGGGGGUUACGCGGGGAAGUGAAACAUCUUAGUACCCGUAGGAGAGGAUAUUCCGUGAGUAGUGGCGAGCGAAAGCGGAUGAUGGCUAAACCGUUGUCGUGUGAGACCCGGCGGGGGUUGCGGUGGCGGGGUUGUUGGGGCGUGCCUGUUUCCUGCUGCCGCCGUGGUGGGGGGCGUUGUGCUGGCUGGGUAGCUGAACCGUCUGGGAUGGCGGGCCGUAGUGGGUGAGAGCCCUGUAGGCGGAACCUGGUUGGUGGCGUGUGGGUGUGUUCCCGUGGUAGCACGGGGCUCGUGGAAUCCUGUGUGAGUCUGCCAAGACCACUUGGCUGCCUGAAUACUUCCUGGUGACCGAUAGCGGAUGAGUACCGUGAGGGAAUGGUGAAAAGUACCCCGGGAGGGGAGUGAAAGAGUACCUGAAACCGGGCGCCUGCGAGCCGUCAGGGCCUGGCUGUCUCGUGCUUCCUGGUAUGGGGGGUGCGGGGGCUGGGUGGUGGCGUGCCUAUUGAAGAAUGAGCCUGCGAGUCGUGCUGUGUGGCGAGGUUAACCCGUGUGUGGGGUAGCCGUAGCGAGAGCGAGUCCUAAGUGGGCGUGUGAGUCGUGUGGUGCGGACCCGAAGCGGGGUGAUCUACCCAUGGCCAGGUUGAGGCGCGUGUAAGAGCGUGUGGAGGACCGUACCCGCCUGGGUUGAAAACCGGGGGGAUGAGCUGUGGGUAGGGGUGAAAGGCCAAUCAGACUCCGUGAUAGCUGGUUCUCCCCGAAAUGCAUUUGGGUGCAGCGUCGCGUGGUCCCCGGCGGAGGUAGAGCUACUGGUUGGCUGAUGGGCCCCACAGGGUUACUGGGGUCAGCCAAACUCCGAAUGCCGUCGGGUGCGAGCGCGGCAGUGAGACCGCGGGGGAUAAGCUCCGUGGUCGAGAGGGGAACAGCCCGGACCGCCGGCUAAGGCCCCUAAGCGCGCGCUAAGUGGGAAAGGAUGUGCGGCCGCGGUGACAACCAGGAGGUUGGCUCAGAAGCAGCCACCCUUGAAAGAGUGCGUAACAGCUCACUGGUCAAGUGGUCGUGCGCCGACAAUGUAGCGGGGCUCAAGCGCGCCGCCGAAGCCGCGGACCCCUGUGCCCCUUUACUGGGGGUGCGGGGGUGGUAGGGGAGCGUCCUGUGCUGGGUGAAGCCGGUGGGGUGACCCCUGGUGGACGGUGCGGGAGCGAGGAUGCAGGCAUGAGUAGCGAGACCGGGGUGGGAGUCCCCGGCGCCGUGUGACCAAGGGUUCCAGGGGAAGGUUCGUCCGCCCUGGGUGAGUCGGGGCCUAAGGCGAGGCCGACAGGCGUAGUCGAUGGGUGACGGGUUGAUAUUCCCGUACCGGUGGGGCACCGCCCGUGCUGACUGGUGGGUGCUAACCCACGCCGGGUGCCGCCUUCUUCUCCUGCCGCGGGUUUCGGCCCGGGCGGGGGGUGGCGGUGCCGGGUCUGGGGGUCCUCCGCCUUGGUAGGCAAGCGUGUUAACAGGGGUGACGCACAGUGGUAGCCUCCGCGGGCCUGAUGGCUUGGCCCGUCCAACCGUGUGGCCCGUCCCCCAGGUAAAUCCGGGGGGCUGUCUUUGGUGACGAGGGUGAGGCGGGACGGUGACCUGCCCCGUUGGGGGUGGGGAAGCAGGGUGAUCCUGUGGUGCCUAGAAAAGCCUCGACGCGAUGGUGUGAGCCGCCCGUACCCUAUACCGACACAGGUGGUCCGGCAGAGUAUGCCGAGGCGGGCGGGUGAACCGUGGUGAAGGAACUCGGCAAGAUGCCCCCGUAACUUUGGGAGAAGGGGGGCCCUGUCCCCUGAGGCCCCGUGCGGGCUGGGGGGGCGGGCCGCAGAGACCAGGGGGGAGCGACUGUUUACUAAAAACACAGGUCCGUGCGAAGCCGUAAGGCGAUGUAUACGGACUGACGCCUGCCCGGUGCUGGAAGGUCAAGAGGAUCCGUCAGCCCCCCGCGGGGGGUGAAGCGGUGAGUUCAAGCCCCAGUAAACGGCGGUGGUAACUAUAACCAUCCUAAGGUAGCGAAAUUCCUUGUCGGGUAAGUUCCGACCUGCACGAAUGGCGUAACGACUCCCCCGCUGUCUCCACCACGGGCCCGGUGAAAUUGCACUACGAGUAAAGAUGCUCGUUACGCGCAGAAGGACGGAAAGACCCCGGGACCUUUACUGCAGCUUGGUAUUGGCGUCCGCCGUGUCCUGUGCAGGAUAGGUGGGAGGCGUGGAUCCCGGCGCGCCAGCGUCGUGGGGAGCCGUUGUUGGGAUACCACUCUGGGUGCGGCGUGCGCCUGAACCUCGGCCCGUGACCCGGGUCAGGGACAGUGCCUGGUGGGUAGUUUAACUGGGGCGGUUGCCUCCUAAAGGGUAACGGAGGCGCUCAAGGGUCCCCUCAGCCUGGUCGGCAACCAGGUGUCGAGUGCAAGUGCACAAGGGGGCU